CAGCUUGCUGGGUGGAUUAGUGGCGAACGGGUGAGUAACACGUGAGUAACCUGCCCUCGACUCUGGGAUAAGCCCGGGAAACUGGGUCUAAUACUGGAUAUUCAAUUUCUACCGCAUGGUGGUUUUUGGAAAGGAUUCUGGUCGAGGAGGGACUCGCGGCCUAUCAGCUUGUUGGUGAGGUAAUGGCUCACCAAGGCGACGACGGGUAGCCGGCCUGAGAGGGUGACCGGCCACACUGGGACUGAGACACGGCCCAGACUCCUACGGGAGGCAGCAGUGGGGAAUAUUGCACAAUGGGCGAAAGCCUGAUGCAGCGACGCCGCGUGAGGGAUGACGGCCUUCGGGUUGUAAACCUCUUUCAGUAGGGAAGAAGCGAAAGUGACGGUACCUGCAGAAGAAGCGCCGGCUAACUACGUGCCAGCAGCCGCGGUAAUACGUAGGGCGCAAGCGUUAUCCGGAAUUAUUGGGCGUAAAGAGCUCGUAGGCGGUUUGUCGCGUCUGCCGUGAAAGUCCGGGGCUUAACUCCGGAUCUGCGGUGGGUACGGGCAGACUAGAGUGCUGUAGGGGAGACUGGAAUUCCUGGUGUAGCGGUGAAAUGCGCAGAUAUCAGGAGGAACACCGAUGGCGAAGGCAGGUCUCUGGGCAGUAACUGACGCUGAGGAGCGAAAGCAUGGGGAGCGAACAGGAUUAGAUACCCUGGUAGUCCAUGCCGUAAACGUUGGGCACUAGAUGUGGGGGACAUUCCACGUUUUCCGCGUCGUAGCUAACGCAUUAAGUGCCCCGCCCUGGGGAGUACGGCCGCAAGGCUAAAACUCAAAGGAAUUGACGGGGGCCCGCACAAGCGGCGGAGCAUGCGGAUUAAUUCGAUGCAACGCGAAGAACCUUACCAAGGCUUGACAUGGACCGGAUCGGGCUAGAAAUAGUCUUUCCCUUCGGGGCUGGUUCACAGGUGGUGCAUGGUUGUCGUCAGCUCGUGUCGUGAGAUGUUGGGGUUAAGUCCCGCAACGAGCGCAACCCUCGUUCUAUGUUGCCAGCACGUUGAUGGUGGGGGACUCAUAGGGAGACUGCCGGGGUCAACUCCGGAGGAAGGUGGGGGACGACGUCAAAUC
Molecule: ribosomal RNA, 1109 nt
Filed under: Zhihengliuella halotolerans
Lineage: Bacteria; Bacillati; Actinomycetota; Actinomycetes; Micrococcales; Micrococcaceae
Description: bacterial SSU rRNA
Rfam family: Bacterial small subunit ribosomal RNA
Source: RNAcentral